RNAcentral lists this ribosomal RNA (579 nucleotides) under uncultured bacterium. RNAcentral describes it as "partial 16S ribosomal RNA". It matches the Rfam family "Bacterial small subunit ribosomal RNA", at positions 355 to 932 of the family's 1533-position model. The record is from RNAcentral.
UGGGGAAUUUUGGACAAUGGGCGAAAGCCUGAUCCAGCAAUGCCGCGUGUGUGAAGAAGGCCUUCGGGUUGUAAAGCACUUUUGUCCGGAAAGAAAUCCUUGGCUCUAAUACAGUCGGGGGAUGACGGUACCGGAAGAAUAAGCACCGGCUAACUACGUGCCAGCAGCCGCGGUGAUACGUAGGGUGCAAGCGUUAAUCGGAAUUACUGGGCGUAAAGCGUGCGCAGGCGGUUUGCUAAGACCGAUGUGAAAUCCCCGGGCUCAACCUGGGAACUGCAUUGGUGACUGGCAGGCUAGAGUAUGGCAGAGGGGGGUAGAAUUCCACGUGUAGCAGUGAAAUGCGUAGAGAUGUGGAGGAAUACCGAUGGCGAAGGCAGCCCCCUGGGCCAAUACUGACGCUCAUGCACGAAAGCGUGGGGAGCAAACAGGAUUAGAUACCCUGGUAGUCCACGCCCUAAACGAUGUCAACUAGUUGUUGGGGAUUCAUUUCCUUAGUAACGUAGCUAACGCGUGAAGUUGACCGCCUGGGGAGUACGGUCGCAAGAUUAAAACUCAAAUGAAUUGACGGGGUCAUAGCUG